Molecule: non-coding RNA, 87 nt
Filed under: Perkinsus chesapeaki
Lineage: Eukaryota; Perkinsozoa; Perkinsida; Perkinsidae
Source: RNAcentral
AUAAUGUAUCAGACUAGCAAUGCUGGAAAAGAAUUGGUGCUCCCUUUUGGUACCCAGCGUCCGGAAUCAAAAAACCCUUGUGGGCCC